UUGAGAUGCUUGCAUCGAAGAUGAUUUUAACUAUAAAGUGAGUGGCGAACGGGUGAGUAACACGUGGGUAACCUGCCCAGAAGUGGGGGAUAACACCUGGAAACAGAUGCUAAUACCGCAUAACAAAAUUAACCGCAUGGUUGAUUUUUAAAAGAUGGCUUCGGCUAUCACUUCUGGAUGGACCCGCGGCGUAUUAGCUAGUUGGUGAGAUAAAGGCUCACCAAGGCAGUGAUACGUAGCCGACCUGAGAGGGUAAUCGGCCACAUUGGGACUGAGACACGGCCCAGACUCCUACGGGAGGCAGCAGUAGGGAAUCUUCCACAAUGGACGCAAGUCUGAUGGAGCAACGCCGCGUGAGUGAUGAAGGCUUUCGGGUCGUAAAACUCUGUUGUUGGAGAAGAACGUGUGUGAGAGUAACUGCUCAUGCAGUGACGGUAUCCAACCAGAAAGCCACGGCUAACUACGUGCCAGCAGCCGCGGUAAUACGUAGGUGGCAAGCGUUAUCCGGAUUUAUUGGGCGUAAAGCGAGCGCAGGCGGUCUUUUAAGUCUAAUGUGAAAGCCUUCGGCUUAACCGAAGAAGUGCAUUGGAAACUGGGAGACUUGAGUGCAGAAGAGGAGAGUGGAACUCCAUGUGUAGCGGUGAAAUGCGUAGAUAUAUGGAAGAACACCAGUGGCGAAGGCGGCUCUCUGGUCUGCAACUGACGCUGAGGCUCGAAAGCAUGGGUAGCGA
RNAcentral lists this ribosomal RNA (731 nucleotides) under Pediococcus ethanolidurans. RNAcentral describes it as "bacterial SSU rRNA". It matches the Rfam family "Bacterial small subunit ribosomal RNA", at positions 48 to 771 of the family's 1533-position model. Lineage: Bacteria; Bacillati; Bacillota; Bacilli; Lactobacillales; Lactobacillaceae. The record is from RNAcentral.